GACGAACGCUGGCGGCGUGCCUAUACAUGCAAGUAGAACGCUGAAGAGAGGAGCUUGCUCUUCUUGGAUGAGUUGCGAACGGGUGAGUAACGCGUAGGUAACCUGCCUGGUAGCGGGGGAUAACUAUUGGAAACGAUAGCUAAUACCGCAUGAAAUUGCUUAUCGCAUGAUAAUUAAUUGAAAGAUGCAAUUGCAUCACUACCAGAUGGACCUGCGUUGUAUUAGCUAGUUGGUGAGGUAACGGCUCACCAAGGCGACGAUACAUAGCCGACCUGAGAGGGUGAUCGGCCACACUGGGACUGAGACACGGCCCAGACUCCUACGGGAGGCAGCAGUAGGGAAUCUUCGGCAAUGGGGGGAACCCUGACCGAGCAACGCCGCGUGAGUGAAGAAGGUUUUCGGAUCGUAAAGCUCUGUUGUAAGAGAAGAACGGGUGUGAGAGUGGAAAGUUCACACUGUGACGGUAUCUUACCAGAAAGGGACGGCUAACUACGUGCCAGCAGCCGCGGUAAUACGUAGGUCCCGAGCGUUGUCCGGAUUUAUUGGGGCGUAAAGCGAGCGCAGGCGGUUAGAUAAGUCUGAAGUUAAAGGCUGUGGCUUAACCAUAGUAUGCUUUGGAAACUGUUUAACUUGAGUGCAGAAGGGGAGAGUGGAAUUCCAUGUGUAGCGGUGAAAUGCGUAGAUAUAUGGAGGAACACCGGUGCGAUAGCUGCUCUCUGGGUCUGUAACUGACGGCUGAGGCUCGAAGCGUGGGAGCAAACAGGG
This 765-nucleotide ribosomal RNA is filed under the name uncultured Streptococcus sp. RNAcentral describes it as "bacterial SSU rRNA". It matches the Rfam family "Bacterial small subunit ribosomal RNA", at positions 28 to 777 of the family's 1533-position model. The record is from RNAcentral. Lineage: Bacteria; Bacillati; Bacillota; Bacilli; Lactobacillales; Streptococcaceae.